AUGAUUGGCUAAAAUAAAAAGGCGUCUGACGUCACUACGUUGCCACGCUUUUCGCUAAAAAACAAACAAACAAAAAAGCCUAUAAACACAAAAAUAUUAUGACCAGUAAAUACAUAAAUUACAGGUUGGAUGUUUGUGAAGUUUAUUUACCCUGCAGACAGUUUUCCUGCUCUCCUGUUGGUCAAAUGAACCUCUACACAUGGGAUUAUCUCCAGAUUAAAGAGGUUUCCUGAUGAUCGUUUAUAGUUUGGGGAUAAAUCACAACAUCUUCAACUGCAAGAAGUUCUGAGCUGCAUCAAACAAAACCCAAACUACCAGGAGAACAGAGGAACUCGCUUAGAAGAACCGUCUCUCCGUGCAGCUUCAUGCUGCUCCACCUCAUCUGUGUAGACGGAGUCGUUCCAUCAGAAAUGAGCUCCGUCACCGUGGUAACAGCCAGACAGCACAGUGGUGGAACGAGGAAGACUCUGAUGGUGAAGAAGACGGAGAGGACCAAGUGGUGGGGGCAGGUCUGAAGUUCUUCAUGGUUACCGCUUCUCCAGAUGUGGAUGUGGGUUUCUGCUCCAAACACACAACGCUACAGCAUCUCCUCCCUUUGGUUUAUGGAGAGUCAUCCGUCUGUUCUCACAGCAGAUCUCGUCUAUAAUGGAGUUCCUCUGUUAGGUCCGAACCAGAUCAGGUGAGCUUUCACACCUGCAGAACCCAGAGGACCAUCAAAGAACCAGAACCAGAACCAGCCUUGGGCUAAACCAGGAUCAGCCAGAGGGAAACCACCCUAAAAUGGACUCACGUUUGAGUCGAUGUCUGAGCAUCUUCUUAAAAUCCACAGAAAAUGAAAAUACUUCAUGUUUGUGGAGGAACUUCA
Molecule: long non-coding RNA, 865 nt
Organism: Oryzias melastigma (Indian medaka)
Lineage: Eukaryota; Metazoa; Chordata; Actinopteri; Beloniformes; Adrianichthyidae
Exons: 2
Source: RefSeq, a predicted model, not a curated record